GAUGAACGCUGGCGGCGUGCCUAAUACAUGCAAGUCGAGCGAACGGACGAGAAGCUUGCUUCUCUGAUGUUAGCGGCGGACGGGUGAGUAACACGUGGAUAACCUACCUAUAAGACUGGGAUAACUUCGGGAAACCGGAGCUAAUACCGGAUAAUAUUUUGAACCGCAUGGUUCAAAAGUGAAAGACGGUCUUGCUGUCACUUAUAGAUGGAUCCGCGCUGCAUUAGCUAGUUGGUAAGGUAACGGCUUACCAAGGCAACGAUGCAUAGCCGACCUGAGAGGGUGAUCGGCCACACUGGAACGGAGACACGGUCCAGACUCCUACGGGAGGCAGCGGUAGGGAAUCUUCCGCAAUGGGCGAAAGCCUGACGGAACAACGCCGCGUGAGUGAUGAAGGUCUUCGGAUCGUAAAACUCUGUUAUUAGGGAAGAACAUAUGUGUAAGUAACUGUGCACAUCUUGACGGUACCUAAUCAGAAAGCCACGGCUAACUACGUG
This 497-nucleotide ribosomal RNA is filed under the name uncultured bacterium. Its description in RNAcentral is "partial 16S ribosomal RNA". It matches the Rfam family "Bacterial small subunit ribosomal RNA", at positions 28 to 507 of the family's 1533-position model. The record is from RNAcentral.